GGCGUGGCGCAGCUACACAUGCAGUCGAGCGGUAGCACAGAGAGCUUGCUCUCGGGUGACGAGCGGCGGACGGGUGAGUAAUGUCUGGGAAACUGCCUGAUGGAGGGGGAUAACUACUGGAAACGGUAGCUAAUACCGCAUAAUGUCGCAAGACCAAAGUGGGGGACCUUCGGGCCUCAUGCCAUCAGAUGUGCCCAGAUGGGAUUAGCUAGUAGGUGGGGUAACGGCUCACCUAGGCGACGAUCCCUAGCUGGUCUGAGAGGAUGACCAGCCACACUGGAACUGAGACACGGUCCAGACUCCUACGGGAGGCAGCAGUGGGGAAUAUUGCACAAUGGGCGCAAGCCUGAUGCAGCCAUGCCGCGUGUGUGAAGAAGGCCUUCGGGUUGUAAAGCACUUUCAGCGGGGAGGAAGGCGGUAAGGUUAAUAACCUUGGCGAUUGACGUUACCCGCAGAAGAAGCACCGGCUAACUCCGUGCCAGCAGCCGCGGUAAUACGGAGGGUGCAAGCGUUAAUCGGAAUUACUGGGCGUAAAGCGCACGCAGGCGGUCUGUCAAGUCGGAUGUGAAAUCCCCGGGCUCAACCUGGGAACUGCAUUCGAAACUGGCAGGCUAGAGUCUUGUAGAGGGGGGUAGAAUUCCAGGUGUAGCGGUGAAAUGCGUAGAGAUCUGGAGGAAUACCGGUGGCGAAGGCGGCCCCCUGGACAAAGACUGACGCUCAGGUGCGAAAGCGUGGGGAGCAAACAGGAUUAGAUACCCUGGUAGUCCACGCCGUAAACGAUGUCGAUUUGGAGGUUGUGCCCUUGAGGCGUGGCUUCCGGAGCUAACGCGUUAAAUCGACCGCCUGGGGAGUACGGCCGCAAGGUUAAAACUCAAAUGAAUUGACGGGGGCCCGCACAAGCGGUGGAGCAUGUGGUUUAAUUCGAUGCAACGCGAAGAACCUUACCUGGUCUUGACAUCCACAGAACUUUCCAGAGAUGGAUUGGUGCCUUCGGGAACUGUGAGACAGGUGCUGCAUGGCUGUCGUCAGCUCGUGUUGUGAAAUGUUGGGUUAAGUCCCGCAACGAGCGCAACCCUUAUCCUUUGUUGCCAGCGGUUCGGCCGGGAACUCAAAGGAGACUGCCAGUGAUAAACUGGAGGAAGGUGGGGAUGACGUCAAGUCAUCAUGGCCCUUACGACCAGGGCUACACACGUGCUACAAUGGCAUAUACAAAGAGAAGCGACCUCGCGAGAGCAAGCGGACCUCAUAAAGUAUGUCGUAGUCCGGAUUGGAGUCUGCAACUCGACUCCAUGAAGUCGGAAUCGCUAGUAAUCGUAGAUCAGAAUGCUACGGUGAAUACGUUCCCGGGCCUUGUACACACCGCCCGUCACACCAUGGGAGUGGGUUGCAAAAGAAGUAGGUAGCUUAACCUUCGGGAGGGCGCUACCACCUUGAUACC
RNAcentral lists this ribosomal RNA (1438 nucleotides) under Klebsiella sp. RNAcentral's name for it is "bacterial SSU rRNA". It matches the Rfam family "Bacterial small subunit ribosomal RNA". Lineage: Bacteria; Pseudomonadati; Pseudomonadota; Gammaproteobacteria; Enterobacterales; Enterobacteriaceae. The record is from RNAcentral.